This 801-nucleotide ribosomal RNA is filed under the name Triticum aestivum (bread wheat). Its description in RNAcentral is "partial small subunit ribosomal RNA". The record is from RNAcentral. Lineage: Eukaryota; Viridiplantae; Streptophyta; Magnoliopsida; Poales; Poaceae.
AUGUUCCCUGGAUUUCAGGGCCAUUCACCCACUGAAUGUCAGCGUUGUUACUCUCACCCUCCGGAUUGUUUUGGUAUGAUCUUUGCUCAACAACAUAGCUCAUGCCAAAACAAUUACACACAUGCGUGGCCUGAAAACCAGAAUAUGUCAUAUAGGAACAACAACCCUGAGAUCUCAUCAUUUGCUUCUAGUAAUCAUAUGCAGGGAUUUAGGUACAAUGAGGAGAGCCACAACUAUGCACCACAACAAUUUCAUUCAGCUCCUACUCAUAUACCACAGUACCAGGAGAUGUGUCCAAUGGAGUUAAAUGGUCCUCCAUUUGGUCAACCAACAACUCCAGCACCUGUUGUGCAAUCUCAUGUGCAAGUGCCCACACAAGAUGAGUUCGAUGACAUAGACAAGCUCACACUUUUGAGUCUCGAGUUCACUUGGAGUGCCGAGGAUGAUCCUAUUAGGAAGGUUAUAAUGGAGGAAAUGAAGAAGAUUAAGAGUGGAAAGGAGCUAGUGGAAGAAGUAAGGAAGAUUGAGAAGAACAUCAACGCUGGCAGUACUAUCUCUUCCCUCCUUGAGUUGAGUGUUGAUGGGAUAUCCCUUGAGGUGUGUGAGGUUCCAACACCGUCACAUCCAGCUGAGCAAGAUAGCAAGAGCCCAGAGGAAGAGAUACCUCAGACUGAAGAAGAUGACCUAGAAGACGAGGAACAAGAUGAUGAAGAGCUCAAAUUCCCAAGUGAUCAAGAUGAAGACAAAAGAGCUACUACUCUUGAAGAAUUACUUUCCUCGUGCCAGUCCUAUGCUAAAUGA